This is a non-coding RNA of Schistosoma mansoni, 45 nucleotides long. The record is from Rfam. NCBI's taxonomy places the organism in Eukaryota, Metazoa, Platyhelminthes, Trematoda, Strigeidida, Schistosomatidae.
GUCCAGCUGACGAGUCCCUGAUAGGACGAAACGCGCAUCCUGGAU